RNAcentral lists this long non-coding RNA (1366 nucleotides) under Olea europaea subsp. europaea. The record is from RNAcentral. Lineage: Eukaryota; Viridiplantae; Streptophyta; Magnoliopsida; Lamiales; Oleaceae.
UAACAAACAGGGGCUUAUUUGUGGAUUUUAUACAAUCGUUUUAGGCCAAUUUUGGUUUUAUCACUCAACAAAUUUACUCUUUAAAUAAUUUUCAAAAAUCGGCUUUUCUGUCUCCAACCAAUAUUUAUCGGUAAUCCAAUCAAAAAAGGAGAGAAAACAUGGGCGAGCCAGAGUGAAAAAGGAAAUGAAAUACUUUUCCAAUCGAGAUAUGAAGAUUUUUGGGAAAUAUAUAUAUCCACGGCAGAUCAUUCUUUUUGCUUCGGGGUAGGUUUUCUCAGCCUUUUUGUUCUCAGUUUCUACUCAGUACACACGAAUUAACAUGUAUUUGAACUCUAAUUACACGGCAGGGUUUUAUUCUUGGCUUCAACAACGUAUGAUGUUCACAGAUCCAUAAAAAACAACGAAACACCACCCACAGAGGAACAAAUCCAAGCUUUGGAAGAUUAUAUCAGGUCCGUUCGUCGCCCUCCUUAAUCAAGCGCGGAAGAUGAUGGUUGAUAAAAUUAUAUGUAUUCCUUCCGGUCUUCAUUUUUUUUUUUUUUGAAGAAGAAGAAUUAUUUUAAAAGGUUUGAACGCGAAGAUAGAGAUAGAGAUAGAGUAGGAUACGUUCUCCUACUGGAUAUAUUUUAGCCACGUUGCACUUAAGAAAGUAUGGUAUCUAAGGAAGACGAUCGAGAAAGGAAAGGGGUAGUGUCAUUCUGUUUUUAUUUUCUUUUCUUUUAAUUAGGUGUCUGUCUUUAAUAAUCUUUAAUUAGUUAUUUCCAUUUACGCGUCUCUUAAUCAUAAUUAGUUAUAGUAAACUUAUAGCUUGUUUGAAUUUUAUUCUCGUACCUUAGUUAUUAUAGUUCACUGAUCAAUUAUUUCAUUAAUUAUGUUGACCUCAUUUUUUGUAUGGAUGACGUGGCUAACAGAUCACUAGUCCUCUCGUAUUCAUGUAAAUCUUUUGUCAUGCACAUUUAGACAAAUCGUAAGUCGCACAUGACCUUCUUGGGUGGCGAAGAGGACGGCAACACGAACUUUGACGAUCAAGUCUAUUCAUGUAUAAAUAAAAGGGGUGUGAGACGUGCUAGAGAUGUGAGUCACUAAGUGUUGAGGGGUCGGAUUCUAAAGGGUUUCAAAUGAAUAUGUAGCGAGUAAGUUUAUUGCUUGAAUGUAUAAAAUUGCAUUACCAGUUAAUGACAUAAUUUGUGAGCUUUUAUAUUAUAAGAGGUAUGAUGUUGAUCGUUGGAUGGAAAGACACAUAGCCGCAUCUUGUGAUUGACAUGUCACUCGAUCCAUCAUAGGGAAAUCCAUUGAUGGAUCUGUAUGGAAGAUCUCCUAGGAUGAUGUGACGUGGAAGAUGCCUUCUGUGUGUGGAGGUUUCUAG